UUUAAAUAUUUUAAAAAAAAUCAUACAAAUAUUAUCAACUCAAUUAGAAUGAGUAAUCAUGCAAACUUGUCGCCGUUUCGGAUUAAAUCGAGGAGUUCAUAUACAAUUUGAUUACAGGCUGGACGCCAAGCAGAGGUCUUGAAUCAAAUUGUAUAUGAACUCCCUGCUGAACAUCCUCUGACUGAGAGCAGACCGCUGCGCGAACUUCUUGGGCACACCCCUCCUCAGGAAUUAGACUUCAAAUAUGGUGAGACAGAUAUAAUCGCUAGUGUUGAGGAGAGGGAGCCCGAGAAACGGUUAUCAUAUCCAAAAAAAGCAACAGGCACGCAAAUUACUCAAUCCUGACACGGGAAGGUAGUGACAAUAAAUAACAAUGCAGGGCUCUUCAAGUCUGGUAAUUGGAAUGAAUACAAUCUAAAUCCCUUAACGAGAAUCCAUUGUGAAUAAUGAGUUAGUUUACGAUCAACUCAACUGUUUUAUCCGGUUAGAAUGAAUAAUAGAUAA
This is a long non-coding RNA of Populus trichocarpa (black cottonwood), 504 nucleotides long. RefSeq lists it as uncharacterized. The transcript is spliced from 3 exons. Lineage: Eukaryota; Viridiplantae; Streptophyta; Magnoliopsida; Malpighiales; Salicaceae. The record is from RefSeq and is a predicted model, not a curated record.